RNAcentral lists this ribosomal RNA (549 nucleotides) under uncultured bacterium. Its description in RNAcentral is "bacterial SSU rRNA". It matches the Rfam family "Archaeal small subunit ribosomal RNA", at positions 728 to 1276 of the family's 1478-position model. The record is from RNAcentral.
AAUAGAUACCCGGGUAGUCCGUAGCCGUAAACGAUACUCGCUAGGUGUCGGCCACGGUGCGACCGUUGUCGGUGCCGUAGGGAAGCCGUGAAGCGAGCCACCUGGGAAGUACGGCCGCAAGGCUGAAACUUAAAGGAAUUGGCGGGGGAGCACCACAACGGGUGGAGCUCGCGGUUUAAUUGGAUUCAACGCCGGAAAUCUUACCGGGACCGACAGCAAUAUGAAGGCCAGGCUGAAGACUUUGCCGGAUUAGCUGAGAGGUGGUGCAUGGCCGUCGUCAGUUCGUACUGUGAAGCAUCCUGUUAAGUCAGGCAACGAGCGAGACCCACGCCCACAGUUGCCAGCGUACUCUCCGGAGUGACGGGUACACUGUGGGGACCGCCGCUGCUAAAGCGGAGGAAGGAAUGGGCAACGGUAGGUCAGUAUGCCCCGAAUAUCCCGGGCUACACGCGAGCUACAAUGGUUGGUACAAUGGGUAUCUACCCCGAAGGGGAUGGAAAUCUCCUAAAGCCAAUCUUAGUUCGGAUUGAGGGCUGCAACUCGCCCUCA